This 253-nucleotide unclassified non-coding RNA is filed under the name uncultured Flavobacteriaceae bacterium. Its description in RNAcentral is "contains 16S-23S intergenic spacer region". It matches the Rfam family "Bacterial small subunit ribosomal RNA", at positions 524 to 776 of the family's 1533-position model. The record is from RNAcentral. Lineage: Bacteria; Pseudomonadati; Bacteroidota; Flavobacteriia; Flavobacteriales; Flavobacteriaceae.
UACGGAGGGUGCAAGCGUUAUCCGGAAUCAUUGGGUUUAAAGGGUCCGUAGGCGGGUGCGUAAGUCAGGGGUGAAAGUCUGCCGCUCAACGGUAGAAUUGCCUUUGAUACUGCGCAUCUUGAAUUGGUAGGAAGUGGUUGGAAUGAGUGGUGUAGCGGUGAAAUGCAUAGAUAUUACUCAGAACACCGAUUGCGAAGGCAGGUCACUACUACUGGAUUGACGCUGAUGGACGAAAGCGUGGGGAGCGAACAGG